RNAcentral lists this ribosomal RNA (253 nucleotides) under uncultured bacterium. Its description in RNAcentral is "partial 16S ribosomal RNA". It matches the Rfam family "Bacterial small subunit ribosomal RNA", at positions 524 to 776 of the family's 1533-position model. The record is from RNAcentral.
GACGUAGGGCGCGAGCGUUGUCCGGAUUUAUUGGGCGUAAAGAGCUCGUAGGCGGCUUGUUGCGUCGACCGUGAAAACCCGGGGCUCAACUUCGGGCUUGCGGUCGAUACGGGCGGGCUAGAGUUCGGUAGGGGAGACUGGAAUUCCUGGUGUAGCGGUGAAAUGCGCAGAUAUCAGGAGGAACACCGGUGGCGAAGGCGGGUCUCUGGGCUGACACUGACGCUCAUGCACGAAAGCGUGGGGAGCAAACAGG